RNAcentral lists this ribosomal RNA (497 nucleotides) under uncultured bacterium. RNAcentral describes it as "partial 16S ribosomal RNA". It matches the Rfam family "Bacterial small subunit ribosomal RNA", at positions 28 to 507 of the family's 1533-position model. The record is from RNAcentral.
GAUGAACGCUGGCGGCGUGCCUAAUACAUGCAAGUCGAGCGAACAGACGAUGAGCUUGCUCCUCUGACGUUAGCGGCGGACGGGUGAGUAACACGUGGAUAACCUACCUAUAAGACUGGGAUAACUUCGGGAAACCGGAGCUAAUACCGGAUAAUAUAUUGAACCGCAUGGUUCAAUAGUGAAAGACGGUUUUGCUGUCACUUAUAGAUGUAUCCGCGCCGCAUUAGCUAGUUGGUCAGGUAACGGCUUACCAAGGCAACGAUGCGUAGCCGACCUGAGAGGGUGAUCGGCCACACUGGAACUGAGACACGGUCCAGACUCCUACGGGAGGCAGCAGUAGGGAAUCUUCCGCAAUGGGCGAAAGCCUGACGGAGCAACGCCGCGUGAGUGAUGAAGGUCUUCGGAUCGUAAAACUCUGUUAUUAGGGAAGAACAAAUGUGUAAGUAACUAUGCACGUCUUGACGGUACCUAAUCAGAAAGCCACGGCUAACUACGUG